Molecule: ribosomal RNA, 433 nt
Filed under: uncultured bacterium
Lineage: Bacteria
Description: bacterial SSU rRNA
Rfam family: Bacterial small subunit ribosomal RNA
Source: RNAcentral
AUUGAACGCUGGCGGCAUGCCUUACACAUGCAAGUCGAACGGUAACGGGCCUUCGGGUGCCGACGAGUGGCGAACGGGUGAGUAAUGCAUCGGAACGUACCUUUCAGUGGGGGAUAACGUAGCGAAAGUUACGCUAAUACCGCAUAUUCCGUGAGCAGGAAAGCAGGGGAUCGCAAGACCUUGCGCUGAUUGAGCGGCCGAUGUCAGAUUAGCUAGUUGGUGAGGUAAAGGCUCACCAAGGCGACGAUCUGUAGCGGGUCUGAGAGGAUGAUCCGCCACACUGGAACUGAGACACGGUCCAGACUCCUACGGGAGGCAGCAGUGGGGAAUUUUGGACAAUGGGGGGCAACCCUGAUCCAGCCAUGCCGCGUGAGUGAAGAAGGCCUCGGUUGUAAGACUCUUCGUCCGGGAACGGAAAGUACGCAUGGGUUAA